This 233-nucleotide ribosomal RNA is filed under the name uncultured bacterium. Its description in RNAcentral is "partial 16S ribosomal RNA". It matches the Rfam family "Bacterial small subunit ribosomal RNA", at positions 333 to 557 of the family's 1533-position model. The record is from RNAcentral.
AUAGCCCUACAGGGGGCAGCAGUGGGGAAUCUUCCGCAAUGGGCGAAAGCCUGACGGAGCAAUGCCGCGUGAGUGAAGGAGGCCUUCGGGUUGUAAAACUCUGUCCUUAUCGAAGAGAGGUGGGUAUGUGAAUAAUGUACUCAUAGGACGGUAGAUAAGGAGGAAGCCCCGGCCAACUACGUGCCAGCAGCCGCGGUAAUACGUAGGGGGCGAGCGUUGUCCGGAAUCACUGG